AGAGUUUGAUCAUGGCUCAGGACGAACGCUGGCGGCGUGCCUAAUACAUGCAGGUAGAACGCUGAAGUCUGGUGCUUGCACCGGAUGGAUGAGUUGCGAACGGGUGGGUAACGCGUAGGUAACCUACCUCAUAGCGGGGGAUAACUAUUGGAAACGAUAGCUAAUACCGCAUAAUAGUCAUUAACACAUGUUAGAGACUUGAAAGGGGCAAUUGCUUCACUAUGAGAUGGACCUGCGUUGUAUUAGCUAGUUGGUGAGGUAAAGGCUCACCAAGGCGACGAUACAUAGCCGACCUGAGAGGGUGAUCGGCCACACUGGGACUGAGACACGGCCCAGACUCCUACGGGAGGCAGCAGUAGGGAAUCUUCGGCAAUGGGGGGAACCCUGACCGAGCAACGCCGCGUGAGUGAAGAAGGUUUUCGGAUCGUAAAGCUCUGUUGUUAGAGAAGAACGUGUGUGAGAGUGGAAAGUUCACACAGUGACGGUAACUAACCAGAAAGGGACGGCUAACUACGUGCCAGCAGCCGCGGUAAUACGUAGGUCCCGAGCGUUGUCCGGAUUUAUUGGGCGUAAAGCGAGCGCAGGCGGUUCUGUAAGUCUGAAGUUAAAGGCAGUGGCUUAACCAUUGUACGCUUUGGAAACUGCAGGACUUGAGUGCAGAAGGGGAGAGUGGAAUUCCAUGUGUAGCGGUGAAAUGCGUAG
RNAcentral lists this ribosomal RNA (702 nucleotides) under uncultured Streptococcus sp. Its description in RNAcentral is "bacterial SSU rRNA". It matches the Rfam family "Bacterial small subunit ribosomal RNA", at positions 8 to 693 of the family's 1533-position model. The record is from RNAcentral. Lineage: Bacteria; Bacillati; Bacillota; Bacilli; Lactobacillales; Streptococcaceae.